This 800-nucleotide ribosomal RNA is filed under the name uncultured bacterium. RNAcentral describes it as "bacterial SSU rRNA". It matches the Rfam family "Bacterial small subunit ribosomal RNA", at positions 8 to 803 of the family's 1533-position model. The record is from RNAcentral.
AGAGUUUGAUCCUGGCUCAGAUUGAACGCUGGCGGCGUGCUUAACACAUGCAAGUCGAUCGGUAACGCGGGGGCAACCCUGGCGACGAGAGGCGGACGGGUGAGGAACGCUUGGGAAUCUGCCUAUCAGCGGGGGACAACCCGGGGAAACUCGGGCUAAUACCGCAUACGCUCUACGGAGGAAAGCCGGGGACCGCAAGGCCUGGCACUGAUAGAUGAGCCCAAGUCGGAUUAGCUAGUUGGCGGGGUAACGGCCCACCAAGGCGACGAUCCGUAGCUGGUCUGAGAGGACGAUCAGCCACACUGGAACUGAGACACGGUCCAGACUCCUACGGGAGGCAGCAGUGGGGAAUAUUGGACAAUGGGGGAAACCCUGAUCCAGCGACGCCGCGUGGGUGAAGAAGGCCUGCGGGUUGUAAAGCCCUUUCGGUAGGGACGAAAGCUCUCGACCUAACACGUCGGGAGGUUGACUUAACCUACAAAAGAAGCACCGGCUAACUCUGUGCCAGCAGCCGCGGUAAUACAGAGGGUGCGAGCGUUAAUCGGAAUUACUGGGCGUAAAGCGCACGUAGGCGGCUUGGUAUGUCGGGUGUGAAAUCCCCGGGCUCAACCUGGGAACUGCAUCCGAAACUGCCUUGCUCGAGUAUGGGAGAGGGAAGUGGAAUUUCCGGUGUAGCGGUGAAAUGCGUAGAUAUCGGAAGGAACAUCAGUGGCGAAGGCGACUUCCUGGACCAAUACUGACGCUCAGGUGCGAAAGCGUGGGGAGCAAACAGGAUUAGAUACCCUGGUAGUCCACGCCCU